Molecule: ribosomal RNA, 541 nt
Filed under: uncultured bacterium
Lineage: Bacteria
Description: partial 16S ribosomal RNA
Rfam family: Bacterial small subunit ribosomal RNA
Source: RNAcentral
UAGGGAAUCUUGCGCAAUGGGCGAAAGCCUGACGCAGCCAUGCCGCGUGAAUGAUGAAGGUCUUAGGAUUGUAAAAUUCUUUCACCGGGGAAGAUAAUGACGGUACCCGGAGAAGAAGCCCCGGCUAACUUCGUGCCAGCAGCCGCGGUAAUACGAAGGGGGCUAGCGUUGCUCGGAAUUACUGGGCGUAAAGGGCGCGUAGGCGGAUAUCUAAGUUGGGGGUGAAAGCCCGGGGCUCAACCUCGGAAUAGCCUUCAAUACUGGAUAUCUUGAGUUCGGGAGAGGUGAGUGGAAUGCCGAGUGUAGAGGUGAAAUUCGUAGAUAUUCGGCGGAACACCAGUGGCGAAGGCGACUCACUGGCCCGAUACUGACGCUGAGGCGCGAAAGCGUGGGGAGCAAACAGGAUUAGAUACCCUGGUAGUCCACGCCGUAAACGAUGAGUGCUAGUUGUCGGCAUGCAUGCAUGUCGGUGACGCAGCUAACGCAUUAAGCACUCCGCCUGGGGAGUACGGUCGCAAGAUUAAAACUCAAAGGAAUUGAC